Molecule: long non-coding RNA, 1155 nt
Filed under: Anser brachyrhynchus (Pink-footed goose)
Lineage: Eukaryota; Metazoa; Chordata; Aves; Anseriformes; Anatidae
Description: lncRNA (ENSABRG00000005621.1)
Source: RNAcentral
UCAUUUUAGUUUGUCUGAAACCCCGAUUUUACGGGUCAUGUUAACACUCGCAGAUAUACCUGCAAUGAUUUUGUGUGUGCUAGCUGGCCAUUUAAUAUUUCACACCGGGAUGGAUUUACGAUGUGUUGCUUCUCUGUCAGGAGCUGUGGGAGUGUUCAGACACAUACUUCUGGGCUGCUCGCUUUUAUCAAUCUACAUAAAUCAUUAAAACUCGGGGUUUAAUGAAUGCAAAUGCAGUGCCGCAGAAGGGAAGUCGGUUGGCUGGAGGCACUCUGCGAGCUGGAAUCGCUCCAUCGACCGAGACUGCUGAAAGAUGUUUCUUCAAGUUCAGUCCUCCCUGCAGCAGAGCAAACCGAAGGCUCAGUGCCAUUCACCAGAAAGGUUGACGGGAUACAGCCAGGAGCGGCUCUACCUUGGCAGCUGCCACGUCUUUCUCAUCUGAAACCAUCCUUGCACGUGCCGCUUCCUUGUUCUAAUUAACACCUUAAUCAGCUCAACGUCUCAUCGCUGAAGAAUGACUUGGCAUUUGGCAGGCUGGCAGCUAUCCGACAGUGACAGGCUGCGGCAUCUCCAGCACUCAGCAGAGGUCAGAAGUCGGCCCCUGCGGUGUCCUUGCCCCUCAGGUCCUGGGUGCACGUCACACACCAUCUCUGUAGCUACUCUCCCCGGUUAGUGGUUUUUUGUUUGUUUGUUUGUUUUUGUUUAUAAUUCUCUUUCAGGAUGGUAAGGGGAGAUGACAGGAAAGGGAUGGAAAGACUGGGAGCAUAGAAAAGCAGAGCAGAGUUAGGGCAGUGGUCCUAUCUACAGGAGCUUUCAUUUUUCCUCCUGCUCACCUAAUGCUUUAUGAAUGAGGAGCACAGGGAGCAACAGGCACUUGGCCAAGGGCGGUGACUUCUCGCACAAGUAUACACGGCCAGAGGCAGACAUACGGACAACUGUCCGUUAGAAACACCCCGUGGCAGCUUCUCAUCCCCAUCCCACGUUUCCCAUGUGCCCAGACCCCAGCCCCACCUGCAUCCAGGUCUGUCCCUGCACCGCCGUGAACCCCGCAGCGAGAAGCUGCAUCUGCACAAGUGAGCGUGCCCUGAACCUGCCAGGGCUGGAAUUUCUAUUGGUUUAUUGCUUCCAGGCAACAUUUUUUCAUCUAUAUUUAUC